AGUCGAACGGCAGCGCGUCCUUCGGGAUGGCGGCGAGUGGCGAACGGGUGAGUAAUACAUCGGAACGUGCCCGAGAGUGGGGGAUAACGAGGCGAAAGCUUUGCUAAUACCGCAUACGAUCUCAGGAUGAAAGCAGGGGACCGCAAGGCCUUGCGCUAACGGAGCGGCCGAUGGCAGAUUAGGUAGUUGGUGGGAUAAAAGCUUACCAAGCCGACGAUCUGUAGCUGGUCUGAGAGGAUGAUCAGCCACACUGGGACUGAGACACGGCCCAGACUCCUACGGGAGGCAGCAGUAGGGAAUUUUGGACAAUGGGGGCAACCCUGAUCCAGCCAUGCCGCGUGCAGGAUGAAGGCCUUCGGGUUGUAAACUGCUUUUGUACGGAACGAAAAGGCUCUUUCUAAUAAAUGGGGCUCAUGACGGUACCGUAAGAAUAAGCACCGGCUAACUACGUGCCAGCAGCCGCGGUAAUACGUAGGGUGCGAGCGUUAAUCGGAAUUACUGGGCGUAAAGCGUGCGCAGGCGGUUUUGUAAGACAGAGGUGAAAUCCCCGGGCUCAACCUGGGAACUGCCUUUGUGACUGCAAGGCUGGAGUGCGGCAGAGGGGGAUGGAAUUCCGCGUGUAGC
RNAcentral lists this ribosomal RNA (624 nucleotides) under uncultured bacterium. Its description in RNAcentral is "bacterial SSU rRNA". It matches the Rfam family "Bacterial small subunit ribosomal RNA", at positions 60 to 679 of the family's 1533-position model. The record is from RNAcentral.